Molecule: ribosomal RNA, 440 nt
Filed under: uncultured Sulfurimonas sp.
Lineage: Bacteria; Pseudomonadati; Campylobacterota; Epsilonproteobacteria; Campylobacterales; Sulfurimonadaceae
Description: partial 16S ribosomal RNA
Source: RNAcentral
GACUACAGGGGUAUCUAAUCCCGUUUGCUCCCCACGCUUUCACGCCUUAGCGUCAGUUAUGUUCCAGGAGAUCGCCUUCGCUUUCGGUAUUCCUAGUGAUAUCUACGGAUUUUACCCCUACACCACUAAUUCCAUCUCCCCCUCCCAUACUCUAGGUUGCCAGUUUCCAAUGCAGUUCUAUGGUUAAGCCAUAGGAUUUCACAUCAGACUUGGCAUCCCGCCUACGCGUCCUUUACGCCCAGUGAUUCCGAAUAACGCUUGCACCCUCCGUAUUACCGCGGCUGCUGGCACGGAGUUAGCCGGUGCUUAUUCAUGAGCUACCGUCAUUUUCUUGACUCAUAAAAGGAGUUUACACACCGAAAUGCGUCAUCCUCCACGCGGCGUUGCUGCAUCAGAGUUUCCUCCAUUGUGCAAUAUUCCUCACUGCAGCCCCCCGUAGG